AAGACCUUGCACUUUUGGAGCGGCCGAUGUCUGAUUAGCUAGUUGGUGGGGUAAUGGCCUACCAAAGCGUCGAUCAGUAGCUGGUCUGAGAGGACGGCCAGCCACACUGGGACUGAGACACGGCCCAGACUCCUACGGGAGGCAGCAGUGGGGAAUUUUGGACAAUGGGCGCAAGCCUGAUCCAGCCAUGCCGCGUGAGUGAAGAAGGCCUUCGGGUUGUAAAGCUCUUUCAGCCGGGAAGAAAAGGUUGCGAUUAAUAAUCGCAAUUUAUGACGGUACCGGAAGAAGAAGCACCGGCUAACUACGUGCCAGCAGCCGCGGUAAUACGUAGGGUGCAAGCGUUAAUCGGAAUUACUGGGCGUAAAGCGUGCGCAGGCUGUUUUGUAAGUCAGAUGUGAAAUCCCCGAGCUCAACUUGGGAACU
This 423-nucleotide ribosomal RNA is filed under the name uncultured bacterium. RNAcentral's name for it is "bacterial SSU rRNA". It matches the Rfam family "Bacterial small subunit ribosomal RNA", at positions 207 to 622 of the family's 1533-position model. The record is from RNAcentral.